ACGGGGUGUUUUCACAUAGGUAGGUUUGGGUUUGUCAGAAACAUGUCUGACAAAUAUGUGACGAGCAGAUAAAAAGAGAACUUAGGACGAGGGCAAAGCAGCAGGAAACGUUCUUCAGUCCAGCUGUUGAUUUGGUGUCGGGAGCAGAACAUCUGUAGCAUUUCAGGAUUCACUGGGUGUCCCGUUGUCUCAUUACAGCUGACGUCUGUGUUGCAGUCAUUUAUUUCCAUGUUGUUUCAUUAAAGUUUGGACACUUGUAUCCAAAUAUGAUGGAGGCCCAGUUAGAGUUGAAUGAUGGCUCUCUACCUUGAGUGUUGUCUUUCUCUGGAGUGUAUUUGGCACUAACAGAGUGAAUACUUCCUGACCUGUUGACUAACUGCCUCUACUUUUUUUUCUUACAGGAAGGUGGAGAGAAUGGCACGCCACGAUGAGAUCAGGAGGAAGUAUGGUCUGAUGGGCGACACGGACCACCCGUACAGCAAGUUCGAGAACGAGUAAAGCAGCUGCAAUGGAGGACGUCCACGGGCCGCGGCUCUCACGGCUUUGCUUUUAGCUCCGAGUGAUUUUCUCCCACGCAGUGCUGCAGAGCAGCAGCUGUCCGGUGAUCUCGUUCAGACGUCAAACCUGAUUGAAAAUAUUCUGAAUUAGUUUAGCUUUGUGAUUCUUUAUGAGGGCAGUCGUGUGUGUUUAGUUAAAUCUUGUUUUUAAACUUUCUGCAAACCUUUUUUCUCUCUUUUUAAAUGUUGGACUCUCACAUCAAUCUUUGCACUUUGUACAUACGUUGAUUAAACAGUGAUGACUGUGUGUGUUUCGAUUCAUUAAUAAACCUCUUUAAGCUUUU
This is a non-coding RNA of Neolamprologus brichardi, 841 nucleotides long. The record is from RefSeq and is a predicted model, not a curated record. Lineage: Eukaryota; Metazoa; Chordata; Actinopteri; Cichliformes; Cichlidae.